CCGAAUUUUUAUAAGUAAACAUCGUAUAAAAUUGUGAAAUUAUUCGUUGCUUUCAAAACUCCUUCUCGUAUAGUAGAAUAUUGAUUACUGGCAGUCCCAGUUGACAAGUCCUUGGAUGGCUGAAUUAACAACAUUUUGUAGAUUCAUAAAGUAGAAACCAUUAGCUGAAAUGUAUCUUACGGGUUUUCGAAAAUUAUAAUAAUUGUAGAAGUGACCGUCGUUUCAAGACGUUUCCAAAUACGCUGGACUGUGUGGUCGAGAAUCCUACGGUGCGAAAAGUACAAGUGGAAUAUCGCGCUGCGAGUUUCAGAUGGAGCGUCAAGCAAACGGAUGCACGAAUAGAGUGAAAUUGCAAGCAUGGUAAAGUGAGACAAGCUACAUUGGUCGUCGGUGUGACUUGUUUCGCUUGUGGUUGUACCGAUAUGUCGUGCUCUUUUGCUCACUCGUCACUCCCUCUAUCUGUCUAAAACUACGAAGGCAGCACUGUUUAGCUGUGAAGCAUCAACCAACCAGAGGAAAAGAGCACUUUCUCUACCUGCUUCAUAAUUCUAAGCCGACGCGGAUACUAGGGUGAAGGGACCCUCGACUUUAUAGGGAAAACUGGGGGCACUUUUUUGACUGCCAUCUGGGCUAGCUGCAGACUUGGAUGAACUAAAAUUCAAUAUGGCGGUUUAGAAUAAUUCAAAUUCUUGAUUCGAGAGCCAGAAUGUAUUAAGCAUGUAUUAAGUACAUUUUUUUCAAAAAUAGUUAUGUACACUAUCAUACAAACUAAAAGAUGCAACAUAAUGGAUAAUAUAACCUAAUUUCGAAAAAUGUACUUAGUACACUAUAACAUAAAAGAAAACAAAAUAAUCAAAGUUAAAAACUAAUAUGGGAAACGAAUUUUUUAUUUUCUAUUUUAUAAUGGUAUACAGUAAAAAAUCCAUUUCUAAUGAAAUAUAUACGUACACGUGUUUAUUAAAUUGAUUCAUCCGUUCCGAUGUCUUUGCUGCUUCUAACACCGAUGUCCUCGCUGUUACGGUGUCGAUGAUAGCAUGGAUCAAUCUAAAAGAAUCUAAAACAAAAAUAUAUGUACUUUAAAUACUAUUACAAAGAUGUUAGAGACGAUGGAAAAUAAAAAUAAGUGUGGCUUACUGCUUAUGUCCAGUAUAUAGCUCGGUAUGAUCUUCGAUCAACAAUACUUUAAAGGAAAUGUAUGGAAUAAUAUAUACAAUAAAUGUAUGUGCGUUAAGAUUUGUAUACGAUGAUGAAUCAAUCAAAAUUGUAUAUCUGUAAUUUUCAAAUAAGGUUUCCAUAUUUAUAAAAUAAUGUUUCGAUGAAAAUAAAUAUGGAUAUAAUACAAAAUAAUGCUAUCAAAUGAAAAAGUAAAAUUUGAAUUCUGGUCUGAAUUAUCAACUAUACACCUUGUCAGGAAGAUUCGAAAAGCUAAAAAGUGUUGUCAGUGUAGUCACCAAAAAAAUUCGCUUAUAUGUUGUAAAUGUAAAAUUUAUAACAUGUAUAUAAUAAAUAACUGCAAAAUUAUAUUAUU
Long non-coding RNA from Megalopta genalis, 1528 nucleotides. RefSeq lists it as uncharacterized. The record is from RefSeq and is a predicted model, not a curated record. NCBI's taxonomy places the organism in Eukaryota, Metazoa, Arthropoda, Insecta, Hymenoptera, Halictidae.